Molecule: non-coding RNA, 174 nt
Filed under: Deltaproteobacteria bacterium
Lineage: Bacteria; Pseudomonadati; Myxococcota; Myxococcia
Description: 6S RNA
Rfam family: 6S / SsrS RNA
About the family: E. coli 6S RNA was the first non coding RNA to be sequenced, but its function was unknown until recently. It consists of 184 nucleotides that fold into an extended hairpin structure with a large single-stranded internal bulge. The 6S RNA specifically associates with RNA polymerase holoenzyme containing the sigma70 specificity factor.
Source: RNAcentral
UUUUCCCUGCGCUGUUGGUGAUCUGUUGCGUGUGUUGAGCCAACUCUUGAAAAAAGGGUAGCCUCGCUGCUUGUUUAAGAACACUCUUUGUGGAGAUUUCUGACACAAUUAUGGGCAUGCCCACCUGAUUAUUCAGGUUUAACUGACCGAUAGACACGGCAGUGCGGGGAAAUA